This 447-nucleotide ribosomal RNA is filed under the name uncultured bacterium. Its description in RNAcentral is "bacterial SSU rRNA". It matches the Rfam family "Bacterial small subunit ribosomal RNA", at positions 355 to 825 of the family's 1533-position model. The record is from RNAcentral.
UGGGGAAUAUUGGACAAUGGGCGCAAGCCUGAUCCAGCCAUGCCGCGUGAGUGACGAAGGCCUUAGGGUUGUAAAGCUCUUUCGGCGGGGAAGAUAAUGACGGUACCCGCAGAAGAAGCCCCGGCUAACUCUGUGCCAGCAGCCGCGGUAAUACAGAGGGGGCAAGCGUUGUUCGGAAUCACUGGGCGUAAAGCGCACGUAGGUGGAUAGUUAAGUUCGGGGUGAAAUCCCAGGGCUCAACCCUGGAACUGCCUCGGAUACUGGCUAUCUCGAGUCCGGAAGAGGUGAGUGGAAUUCCUAGUGUAGAGGUGAAAUUCGUAGAUAUUAGGAAGAACACCGGUGGCGAAGGCGGCUCACUGGUCCGGUACUGACACUGAGGUGCGAAAGCGUGGGGAGCAAACAGGAUUAGAUACCCGAGUAGUCCCUGAGCGGGCUGGCAAGGCGCAU